RNAcentral lists this ribosomal RNA (250 nucleotides) under uncultured bacterium. RNAcentral describes it as "partial 16S ribosomal RNA". It matches the Rfam family "Bacterial small subunit ribosomal RNA", at positions 524 to 773 of the family's 1533-position model. The record is from RNAcentral.
UACGGAGGGUGCGAGCGUUAAUCGGAAUUACUGGGCGUAAAGCGUGCGUAGGCGGUUGCGUGUGUCGGAUGUGAAAGCCCCGGGCUCAACCUGGGAAUUGCAUUCGAAACUGCGCGACUAGAAUAUGGUAGAGGAAGAUGGAAUUCCACGUGUAGCGGUGAAAUGCGUAGAUAUGUGGAGGAACACCAAUGGCGAAGGCAAUCUUCUGGGCCAAUAUUGACGCUGAGGCACGAAAGCGUGGGUAGCAAAC